This 338-nucleotide long non-coding RNA is filed under the name Spirodela polyrhiza (greater duckweed). RNAcentral's name for it is "long non-coding RNA (SPOL_LNC002153)". Lineage: Eukaryota; Viridiplantae; Streptophyta; Magnoliopsida; Alismatales; Araceae. The record is from RNAcentral.
GGGAAAACAGGCGAAGCAUGAAACACAGUCGAGCAAAGACAACGAUCCUCUGGAUCAGGCGAGGACCAGCGCCUUCCAGGAAGAAGGAUCGUCGGGAAAAUGAAGACAUCUGCAGGGUGUCUUCAAAGGAAAAUGAAGCAAUCCAAGGAUAUGAGAGGGUUAUUCACGUCGUCCCUGUGGUUGGAUCCUUUUUCAAGGCUGUGAAACAUCUUCGGGCGUCCCUGACGAUCCUCUGGAGCUGGAAUUGGAUCGACGCUGGUUUCUCUUCUCUUCAGGCGCCGGUGAUGGAUGGUCGGAGCCAGGGGACCAGAUCGCUGGGGCCUUACCUUGGCACUGAC